This 252-nucleotide ribosomal RNA is filed under the name uncultured bacterium. RNAcentral's name for it is "partial 16S ribosomal RNA". It matches the Rfam family "Bacterial small subunit ribosomal RNA", at positions 525 to 776 of the family's 1533-position model. The record is from RNAcentral.
ACGGAGGGUGCAAGCGUUGUUCGGAAUUAUUGGGCGUAAAGAGCGUGUAGGCGGCUCGUCAAGUCUGAUGUGAAAGCCCUGGGCUCAACCCAGGAAGUGCAUUGGAAACUGGCGAACUUGAGUACGGGAGAGGAAAGUGGAAUUUCGAGUGUAGGGGUGAAAUCCGUAGAUAUUCGAAGGAACACCAGUGGCGAAGGCGGCUUUCUGGACCGAUACUGACGCUGAGACGCGAAAGCGUGGGGAGCAAACAGG